This 253-nucleotide ribosomal RNA is filed under the name uncultured bacterium. RNAcentral describes it as "partial 16S ribosomal RNA". It matches the Rfam family "Bacterial small subunit ribosomal RNA", at positions 524 to 776 of the family's 1533-position model. The record is from RNAcentral.
UACAGAGGUCUCAAGCGUUGUUCGGAUUCAUUGGGCGUAAAGGGUGCGUAGGCGGCGCGGUAAGUCGGGUGUGAAAUCUUGGAGCUUAACUCCGAAACUGCAUUCGAUACUGCCGUGCUUGAGGACUGGAGAGGAGACUGGAAUUUACGGUGUAGCGGUGAAAUGCGUAGAUAUCGUAAGGAAGACCAGUGGCGAAGGCGGGUCUCUGGACAGUUCCUGACGCUGAAGCACGAAGGCCAGGGGAGCGAACAGG